AUGUUUUGGGGGCGUUUGUAUGGUUUUUGGGGCAUUUGUAUGGUUUUUGGAUGUUUCUUUGCAUGUUUUGGGGGUGUUUGUACGGUUUUGGGAUGUUUCUUUGCAUGUUUCUUUGCAUGCUUUUGGGGCAUUUGUACAUUUUUUGGAUGUUUCUUUGCAUUUUUUUGCAGUGUUUGUAUGUUUUUGGGGCAUUUGUAUGGUUUUUGGAUGCUUCUUUGCAUGGUUUUGGGGCGUUUGUAUGUUUUUGGGGCAUUUCUUAGCACAUUUUUGGGGUAUUUGGGUUCAGAAGGGGGAGCCGAGGGUCUCCUCCUGAUAACCUCAGCCCCAGCCGCCCUCUUUGCCAAACCCAUUCUGAGGAGCGGGGCUGGGAAAUGCUCGUUUUGGGUUUGUUUUUCUUUUUUCCCAUCGUGUUUUUGGUGUUAUUUUGGUGUCCCCCCCCCCGCCCGGAUCUGCUCGGCAGCUGUGGGCUGGGCAGGGCCCAAAACGAGGCUGCUAACGAGCUCCGAGCUAACGAGGAGGCGCGAGCCAGCUCAGAAAGGGACGGGGAACAAGGGGGGAACUCGCUCGGGGGGGAGCCCGCGGGGCUCCAAGACCCUGCCCCAGAUUUGGGGGCUCCCCACGACCCCCCCCCAGGGCUGGGGGAAGGCAGCAGGAGAGGAAUUCCCCAAAUUUGUGCCUUGGGAAUCAAAUUUGGCCCCAGGAGGGCUCGUUUCUGAGCAGCUGGAUCGCCAAAAACCCUACAAAAACCAGCGGGGGCUUCACCGGGGUGCUGGGGGGGGGGCAAGAAAACGGUGCCAGGAGCCACGGGGUCUUCAAGGAGCCGACCGUGUCCCCCCCCCCCGUGACCUCUCAAAAACCAUCAUCAGGCCGAGCCCAGAGCAUCCAAAUCAGGGAUUCUCCACCCAAAACCCCCCCGGCAACGCCAAGCCGAGCGGUUACGGGAGCGCAGAGCUGGAUGGGGCCCCGGCACCGACCCCGGGUUGCCCAAAUCCCCCAACUUCUUCCUUAAAAUCCGCCCUGCUCCUCCCAACGUCCCCCAGCCCCCCGGGGGGGGCUCGCCCACCCCCUGCCCGCUGCCGGAACGCGGAACCCGGCGCCGCAAAGGACUUUACACCGGGGGACGCCUCCGGACUUUACCCCCUGCACCGCCCGGCGAGGAGGGGUGGAAAAUGA
RNAcentral lists this long non-coding RNA (1173 nucleotides) under Anas zonorhyncha (Eastern spot-billed duck). Its description in RNAcentral is "lncRNA (ENSAZOG00000003371.1)". Lineage: Eukaryota; Metazoa; Chordata; Aves; Anseriformes; Anatidae. The record is from RNAcentral.